AACGCACGAGACCUGCGGACCUGCGGAGGGAUCAUCAAAGAAUAAUUCUAUCUUUUUAACAGGGGUUUUUCUCAGCAAAGAUUCUUGUUAAAAAGAACACACAUGACUAGGAAAAAAAGGAGAUAAGGGGGGGCGACAUGUAUAUAAAAGUUCCUGACUGAUAAGAAAUUUUGAUUUGGAAAGAAAAGAGAUAACUUUCAGCAACGGAUCUCU
RNAcentral lists this unclassified non-coding RNA (213 nucleotides) under soil metagenome. Its description in RNAcentral is "partial contains 5.8S ribosomal RNA, internal transcribed spacer 2, and large subunit ribosomal RNA". The record is from RNAcentral.